RNAcentral lists this long non-coding RNA (3318 nucleotides) under Panax ginseng (ginseng). RNAcentral's name for it is "long non-coding RNA (PGIN_LNC016697)". The record is from RNAcentral. Lineage: Eukaryota; Viridiplantae; Streptophyta; Magnoliopsida; Apiales; Araliaceae.
GACCUACUACGCAGAAAAACAGAUUCUGAUUAUGUUAGCUGAUGUAACCUCUCAACAAUCUUAAAUAUUCCAAGAUGUUAGAAGAAAUCUCUUUCAAUACAUUUGUGGAAAUCUUUCUUCUGCUGUACCAAUCCUCCAAAUAUGUUCCAAAAAAAAUUCCAGAUCUCCAAAACUCCUUUCAGCUGUAAUUUCAGAAACAAGAAUUAUUCUUACCUCCAGAUUAUUCCAAUUUCCAGAAUUUUCCAAUAAUUCAAAUUUCAAAAUAUUCUUCAAGAAGGAUUAGACGUUAGAGACCAACAUGUUUAUUCAGAACGUCAAAUAUGCAUUAUUAUUCAGUAACUCCAAAGCUUAGCUAUCGAUAGAAAAAUCGAUCUUUCUGAGGAUAAGUAACAAUCACAAGUUAUAAAUCAGUAUCACAUAAUUGCAGGGUUCCAUUUGAAAAGGAAAGCAAAAUAAAUGAAGUACACACCUGCAAGUAGCUUCUUACAUGACCAAUGCAGGACAUCUUUAUGAAAUGCCUUCCUGCACACCUAGAGAGAGAAAGAAAAGAGGGGAGGGAGAGAGAGAGAGAGAGAAAUCACGUCAAUAGAUGUAGAUGUUGUCACCAAAUUCCAAAAUUAGUUAAAAGGUAAGUUCUGUACAUUAGAUAGUGGCCUCGGAACAUCAUUUUUCCAGCCCCCUCUAAAUGCCAGAAUGGAAUCUAAACUUGGUACAAAUCAAAUUGAGUUGUCAGGCAAUGUACUCUGCUCAUUCUGGCAAGGACAAGCAUUAUCAUAUUCUUCUAGUCUGUGCAAGCAGCAAAAGAGCAGAUUACAAAGUCAUAAUCUUGGUUUUUUUAAGAGGUGAAAUAAGCCUAUGCAAAACAUAUACAAGGUCAAUUACCGAAAAUUCUACAAGAUUGAACUUUGAACUUGCAAAAACAAGUCAAUUCUCCAGUCUCCACACCUUAAGGAUCCCUAAAACUGAAGCACAAAAAAGCAAUGGCUUCAACACUAGUUGCACAACAUUUUGACAGCAAUGUAUCCAACACAAGCACAUUCGAAGUCCAAACUCAUACAUGAUUUUAACAGCCUGGAAGAAGUUUGAGAGGACAACAAUGCUAAGAAUUGAAGUACUUCUGAUGUAGGACGGAUUUAAGAUAAAUAAUUAAUAGAAAAUAAAUUAGCAUUUAAACUCCACAUUUAAAUCUCUAGGACGAAUCAACACUAAAAAUGAAUAAAAUAUCUCUACGUAUGAAUGAUAAAUAGUCUGUAGUUAAAAAAUUGUGUGGAUUACAUCACUAUUUAGAGACUCAAAACCCUAAUGGAAUAAUAAAAGUACUAAACGAUUAAAAUACCCUUAUUAAUAAUUCCUAAUUAAUGUUUUUAAUCCCCACAAAUAAAUAAUUACAUCAAUUACUCUUACAUUAAACAUAAUAAAAACUCUAAAUAAUAAGAAUUCUUUGUUAAAGUCUUGACUUGUGAUCCUCAUCAUUCUCAAUUUAAGGUAAAGAAUUAAUGGAAAAUAAAUUAGAAUUUAAACUCCAUAUUUAAAUCACUAUGGGCUCUCAAGUGUAUCAACUCCACGAAUCAAUGCUAAUAUGGAUAAAAUACCUCUACAAUAUGUAUAAUAAUAAUCAACUUCAAUAUCAAUAGUCUAUAAUCUAAAGGACUUGUGGGGAUUACACUAUUUAAAAAGACACGAAACCUUAAUAUUACUUGGGGAAUAAUAAAAGUACUAAACAACUAAAAUACCCUUAUUAAUAAUCCUAAUCAAUAAUUAAUGUCCUAAAUCCCCACUAAUAAAUAAAUUACAUCAAUUAGUCUUACAUUAAACAUAAUAAAAACUCCAAAAUACAAGAAUUCUUUGAAAGUCUUGACUUGUGAUCCUUAUCUCCAAAACUCAACCUCGAGUUUUAUAACAUGAGAGAAUAAUCCAUGAACUUCUUUGCACCGAAAGAGCAUUUUGGAACACCUUUGACACCAUCUUCACAUGAUAAGGCUCAAACAAUUUCGGGAAGAGAAUUGAUGAAAGUGUCACUUUUGUAUUCAUAGGUGUUGAAAAGUAAUUUUUUGAAAUAACGAGCCCAACAUUAUCAACUUGGACUAGAUCAACUUCGCAAACUGUCUUCUCUUCGUUGACAAACAACUUAAAAGUAAUUUCAAUGUCGUCCUCAAUUUGUGGGUCACAUAUAAUCUCUAGUUCAACUUUUGAAACUUUAAGAAUUCCAUGAACAUGAACAUGUUAUAACUGUCUGUAGCCCAUAAUUGUGAACAUCCUCUUUUUCGAUCUCUUGCUCUUUCUCUGCUCGAAUAUGUGCCAGAAAGUCAAUAAGGCCAUCUUUUAUAGAAUGUCAUAUUUUAUAAAAAUGAUUUCAUCUUUUAUAGAAGAACAUAUAGAAACAGUUUCACGUGUAGCCUUUUGAAGUUCUUUUGUUUUAGUUUGUUUGACGUUUCUUUGCUUCAACAUUUAUUAGUUAAAGUCUUGACUUGUGAUUCCCAUCAACUUCCCAGUAAAUAAAAAAAAAUUAAAUAGUUAAUAAACCAGCAAAAAGACAUAAGAUUGACCUGUUUUUAAAGAAAUAAUGACGUUGGAAAAAAAUUGGCACCACAAACUAUGAAAAUGAGGAAGGAAUUUGAAGUUAUGUUGAUUAUAUUUAUAUCAGAUCGCCAAACAACAAUAAUCCCAGGAAUCCUCUGUUAACCAUAAUCUCUUCCUAUAAAUUAACUAUUCUUUUUUUUNNNNNNNNNNNNNNNNNNNNNNNNNNNNNNNNNNNNNNNNNNNNNNNNNNNNNNNNNNNNNNNNNNNNNNNNNNNNNNNNNNNNNNNNNNNNNNNNNNNNUGCUGGUGGUCGGAGUGGGAAGUAGGAAAUAACAUAGACGAGAUACUUUUAGAUAGAAAAGAUAUUUGAAAAGGGAGAGAUUACAAGCAGCAGGGGGACAAGGAGUCCACCAUCAUUGUUUAAUAAGUGGAAAUAAAGAGAGAGUGCUCCAAAAAUAGCAUCUCUCCAAUCUCUACAAAUAUCUUAAACACAAAAACCUAAAGACCAGCAGUUAAACAAAAGAAAUAUAGUUGUUCAUAAAAUACCUAGGCUUACCGCUCAUUCCAAAUUUCCCAAACAAUAGAAAAGUUGAACACUUUCAAAACAUAUCGUGUCCUUUCUUGCAAAGCCUCUAAAGUGAGUAAGUAGCAAAUCCUCCACCAAAGCGGGGCAAACCUACCCCUUCCCAAACGCACCAAAUAUAGAGUUCAAAAACCCCAAGCAACAUGAAAAUGCAAAAAGCAAAUUUAGAAACAUACUAUAUAAUAGAACUAUUACAAUGCUUAAAUAGAAAACCUA